RNAcentral lists this ribosomal RNA (373 nucleotides) under uncultured organism. Its description in RNAcentral is "partial 16S ribosomal RNA". It matches the Rfam family "Bacterial small subunit ribosomal RNA", at positions 527 to 896 of the family's 1533-position model. The record is from RNAcentral.
GUAGGUGGCAAGCGUUGUCCGGAAUUAUUGGGCGUAAAGCGCGCGCAGGUGGUUCUUUAAGUCUGAUGUGAAAGCCCCCGGCUCAACCGGGGAGGGUCAUUGGAAACUGGGGAACUUGAGUGCAGGAGAGGAAAGUGGAAUUCCACGUGUAGCGGUGAAAUGCGUAGAUAUGUGGAGGAACACCAGUGGCGAAGGCGACUUUCUGGCCUGUAACUGACACUGAGGCGCGAAAGCGUGGGGAGCAAACAGGGAUUAGAUACCCUGGUAGUCCACGCCGUAAACGAUGAGUGCUAAGUGUUGGGGGGGGUUUCCGCCCCCUCAGUGCUGCAGCUAACGCAUUAAGCAUCCGCCUGGGAGUACGGUCGCAAGACUG